RNAcentral lists this ribosomal RNA (505 nucleotides) under uncultured bacterium. Its description in RNAcentral is "partial 16S ribosomal RNA". It matches the Rfam family "Bacterial small subunit ribosomal RNA", at positions 28 to 507 of the family's 1533-position model. The record is from RNAcentral.
GACGAACGCUGGCGGCGUGCCUAAUACAUGCAAGUAGAACGCACAGUUUAUACCGUAGCUUGCUACACCAUAGACUGUGAGUUGCGAACGGGUGAGUAACGCGUAGGUAACCUGCCUGGUAGCGGGGGAUAACUAUUGGAAACGAUAGCUAAUACCGCAUAAUAUUAAUUAUUGCAUGAUAAUUAAUUGAAAGGUGCAAUUGCACCACUACCAGAUGGACCUGCGUUGUAUUAGCUAGUAGGUGAGGUAACGGCUCACCUAGGCGACGAUACAUAGCCGACCGGAGAGGGUGAUCGGCCACCCUGGGAAUGGGACACGGCCCAGACUCCUACGGGAGGCAGCAGUAGGGAAUCUUCGGCAAUGGACGAAAGUCUGACCGAGCAACGCCGAGUGAGUGAAGAAGGUUUUCGGAUCGUAAAGCUCUGUUGUAAGAGAAGAACGGGUGUGAGAGUGGAAAGUUCACACUGUGACGGUAUCUUACCAGAAAGGGACGGCUAACUACGUG